UACGUAGGUGGCAAGCGUUGUCCGGAUUUACUGGGCGUAAAGAGCUCGUAGGUGGUUUGUCGCGUUGUUCGUGAAAACUCACAGCUUAACUGUGGGCGUGCGGGCGAUACGGGCAGACUGGAGUACUGCAGGGGAGACUGGAAUUCCUGGUGUAGCGGUGGAAUGCGCAGAUAUCAGGAGGAACACCGGUGGCGAAGGCGGGUCGCUGGGCAGUAACUGACGCUGAGGAGCGAAAGCGUGGGGAGCGAACAGG
This 253-nucleotide ribosomal RNA is filed under the name uncultured bacterium. RNAcentral's name for it is "partial 16S ribosomal RNA". It matches the Rfam family "Bacterial small subunit ribosomal RNA", at positions 524 to 776 of the family's 1533-position model. The record is from RNAcentral.